CCGAGUUUACAACUCCCAAACCCCUGUGGAACAUACCUACUGUUCGCCUCGGCGGAUCAGCCCGCUCCCCGGUAAAAAGGGACGGCCCGCCCGAGGACCCCUAAACUCUGUUUCUAUAUGUAACUUCUGAGUAAAACACAUGAAUAAAUCA
Molecule: unclassified non-coding RNA, 151 nt
Filed under: soil metagenome
Description: partial internal transcribed spacer 1
Source: RNAcentral